Molecule: transfer RNA, 71 nt
Filed under: Callithrix jacchus (white-tufted-ear marmoset)
Lineage: Eukaryota; Metazoa; Chordata; Mammalia; Primates; Cebidae
Rfam family: tRNA
About the family: Transfer RNA (tRNA) molecules are approximately 80 nucleotides in length. Their secondary structure includes four short double-helical elements and three loops (D, anti-codon, and T loops).
Source: Rfam by way of RNAcentral
AGCAGAGUGACAGUGCUGGCUUGUGUCUGGUUUAGAACCUGACAGACCUGGUUUAAAUCCUGGCUUUGCCU